CCGUAAGAAUUGCCUUAGAGGGAUACAACUGAACGGUUGCUAAUACCCCAUAUGCUUUCGAGUGAAAUGAUUUUCCGCCUAGAGAGAAGCUUGCGGCUGAUUAGCUUGUUGGUGAGGUAAUGGCUUACCAAGGCGACGAUCAGUAUCUGGUUUGAGAGGAUGAUCAGACACACUGGAACUGAGACACGGUCCAGACUCCUACGGGAGGCAGCAGUAGGGAAUUUUCCGCAAUGGGCGAAAGCUGACGGAGCAAUCUCGCGUGAGGGAUGACGGCCUAUGGGUUGUAANCCUCUUUUUUCAGGGAGG
This 306-nucleotide ribosomal RNA is filed under the name uncultured cyanobacterium. RNAcentral describes it as "bacterial SSU rRNA". It matches the Rfam family "Bacterial small subunit ribosomal RNA", at positions 115 to 447 of the family's 1533-position model. The record is from RNAcentral. Lineage: Bacteria; Bacillati; Cyanobacteriota.